RNAcentral lists this ribosomal RNA (446 nucleotides) under uncultured bacterium. RNAcentral describes it as "bacterial SSU rRNA". It matches the Rfam family "Bacterial small subunit ribosomal RNA", at positions 329 to 792 of the family's 1533-position model. The record is from RNAcentral.
UUCCAGACUCCUACGGGAGGCAGCAGUGGGGGAUAUUGGACAAUGGGGGAAACCCUGAUCCAGCGAUGCCGCGUGAGGGAAGAAGGUUUUCGGAUUGUAAACCUCUGUGGACAGGGACGAUAAUGACGGUACCUGUCAAGAAAGCCACGGCUAACUACGUGCCAGCAGCCGCGGUAAUACGUAGGGGGCAAGCGUUAUCCGGAUUUACUGGGUGUAAAGGGAGCGUAGACGGCCAUGCAAGUCUGAUGUGAAAACCCGGGGCUCAACCCCGGGACUGCAUUGGAAACUGUGCGGCUGGAGUGUCGGAGAGGCAAGUGGAAUUCCUAGUGUAGCGGUGAAAUGCGUAGAUAUUAGGAGGAACACCAGUGGCGAAGGCGGCUUGCUGGACGACGACUGACGUUGAGGCUCGAAAGCGUGGGGAGCAAACAGGAUUAGAUACCCUAGUA